This 353-nucleotide ribosomal RNA is filed under the name uncultured bacterium. RNAcentral describes it as "bacterial SSU rRNA". It matches the Rfam family "Bacterial small subunit ribosomal RNA", at positions 29 to 412 of the family's 1533-position model. The record is from RNAcentral.
AGCGAACGCUGGCGGCAGGCCUAAUACAUGCAAGUCGAGCGCACCUUCGGGUGAGCGGCGGACGGGUGAGUAACGCGUGGGAAUGUGCCCUUUGGUACGGAACAACUGAGGGAAACUUCAGCUAAUACCGUAUGUGCCCUUCGGGGGAAAGAUUUAUCGCCAUUGGAGCAGCCCGCGUUGGAUUAGGUAGUUGGUGAGGUAAAGGCUCACCAAGCCUACGAUCCAUAGCUGGCUGAGAGGAUGAUCAGCCACACUGGGACUGAGACACGGCCCAGACUCCUACGGGAGGCAGCAGUAGGGAAUCUUGCGCAAUGGGCGAAAGCCUGACGCAGCCAUGCCGCGUGAAUGAUGAA